UGGGGAAUAUUGCGCAAUGGGGGGAACCCUGACGCAGCCAUGCCGCGUGAAUGAAGAAGGCCUUCGGGUUGUAAAGCUCUUUCGGUAUUGAGGAAGGUUGAUGUGUUAAUAGCACAUCAAAUUGACGUUAAAUACAGAAGAAGCACCGGCUAACUCCGUGCCAGCAGCCGCGGUAAUACGGAGGGUGCGAGCGUUAAUCGGAAUAACUGGGCGUAAAGGGCACGCAGGCGGUUAUUUAAGUGAGGUGUGAAAGCCCUGGGCUUAACCUAGGAAUUGCAUUUCAGACUGGGUAACUAGAGUACUUUAGGGAGGGGUAGAAUUCCACGUGUAGCGGUGAAAUGCGUAGAGAUGUGGAGGAAUACCGAAGGCGAAGGCAGCCCCUUGGGAAUGUACUGACGCUCAUGUGCGAAAGCGUGGGGAGCAAACAGGAUUAGAUACCCUGGUAGUCCACGCUGUAAACGCUGUCGAUUUGGGGGUUGGGGUUUAACUCUGGCGCCCGUAGCUAACGUGAUAAAUCGACCGCCUGGGGAGUACGGCCGCAAGGUUA
Molecule: ribosomal RNA, 547 nt
Filed under: uncultured bacterium
Lineage: Bacteria
Description: bacterial SSU rRNA
Rfam family: Bacterial small subunit ribosomal RNA
Source: RNAcentral